Long non-coding RNA from Marmota flaviventris (yellow-bellied marmot), 403 nucleotides. RefSeq lists it as uncharacterized. The record is from RefSeq and is a predicted model, not a curated record. NCBI's taxonomy places the organism in Eukaryota, Metazoa, Chordata, Mammalia, Rodentia, Sciuridae.
UGUCAUCUCAGUGCUCAGAUGACGACACAUGCAGCAAUGCAGGCAGCCAGGGAGCUGGAGGAAAAGGGCAAAAGACAGGGUGCUACUCUCUUACCUGCUUUGUCAGGUCUGCAGGAGCUGCACCCUUGGGAGCACAGCAAGCUAACCAACCAGUCAUGAGGGAGGAAGUGGUUUCUGUUGCAGCUCUAAUGAAACUUCAGAGUGAUGAAUAGCAUCAACAUUUCUUAUUGAUGCGGUGUCUUCACUCAUCUAUAACCAUAUUGGCUUUUCCAUGUUAAACAGACUCUUCACUUGCUGAGGGCCAAGAGAGCACUGGCUUGGCUGCCAGACCCCAGAACUGCUACAGGAUACACUGAACAAAGGGCCUCACUAAGUUGCUGAGCUGGCCUUAAACCUAUGAUCC